CACCGCCGCGGUAAUACGGAGGGUGCAAGCGUUAAUCGGAAUUACUGGGCGUAAAGCGCACGCAGGCGGUCUGACAAGUCAGAUGUGAAAUCCCCGGGCUUAACCUGGGAACUGCAUUUGAAACUGUCAGGCUGGAGUCUUGUAGAGGGGGGUAGAAUUCCAGGUGUAGCGGUGAAAUGCGUAGAGAUCUGGAGGAAUACCGGUGGCGAAGGCGGCCCCCUGGACAAAGACUGACGCUCAGGUGCGAAAGCGUGGGGAGCAAACAGGAUUAGAUACCCCUGUAGUCCCUGUCUCUUAUACC
RNAcentral lists this ribosomal RNA (301 nucleotides) under uncultured bacterium. RNAcentral's name for it is "partial 16S ribosomal RNA". It matches the Rfam family "Bacterial small subunit ribosomal RNA", at positions 510 to 808 of the family's 1533-position model. The record is from RNAcentral.